Long non-coding RNA from Triticum dicoccoides, 3266 nucleotides. RefSeq lists it as uncharacterized. The transcript is spliced from 2 exons. NCBI's taxonomy places the organism in Eukaryota, Viridiplantae, Streptophyta, Magnoliopsida, Poales, Poaceae. The record is from RefSeq and is a predicted model, not a curated record.
GUCUCAGCGUGCCCCCAAUCCCCCAUCUCAUCUCUCUUUCACACCACAUAUCCCCCCAGCCAAACCUAAGCCACAUGCCGCCGCCGGCCCCGAUUUGCUUGCCCCGCCGCCGUAUGCUCCGUCCUCUACAUGUCUGGCGCCACCACCGCCCCAGACUCCGACCUGCUUCGUGUCGCCACGGCGUCCGGCCCUGACCAGCUUCGCGCCCCCACAUCUGCAGACUACGACUUGCCUCACGCCGCCACUGCCUCCGGCCCAGAUCUGCCUCCCGUCGCCACGGCCUCCAAGGGGAGGUACUCUACAGUAUGAGGGGCCUCCCCACAACCUGCAGAUCGAGGAGUCGACCUGUCAUACGCUGCCGAGGAGGCGCCCCAGUGCCCCUCUUCCACAACGGCGACGACUCCCCUACCCCUCUGUCCUACCCCGUUUGCAAAUCUGGCUACUGUAGGUAAACAUCGUUGAUUUUUUCCCCCAAAACUGUGAUUGCCCAUUAGAUCUAUCUAGUUCGAGCAAGUUUACGUUGGUUUGUUUGAGUUUGGGUAAUUUUAGGGUGGUUUAGGAACAACUUAGGCUUGUACGGACUGUGGAAGGGAGCGCAGGUGCCGGCCUAGUUCAUGGCGGAGGUAAUCUAGUUCGUGAAUGUACAAAGCAACGACCUUGACAGUUGUCUAAUCAACAAUUUCACAUGGCAAAAGCUGACGGAAACAGGUGAAGAAAGUGAGGUCCUUAUAUACGAUGAUGGCUUGCCAAGUUGUAGAAAAUAAGGUCUGAGGAGUGAGGGGAGAGCUCUUAUGGAACCGAAAAAGAAUACAUGAAUAGGAGGAGAUACAAGGGCCUCUGGGAAAGUACGUGGGUCAUCACGGCCAGCCAAGAAAAACUAAACUAUUGUGUACUUGCAGUUGUUUACAUUCAACACUUUCUCAUUAUAUAUACCAUCUGUUUCACACAUAUUUAUGCUUUUUUUUCAGUCAAAGAACAGCAUAAGUGAAGCUAUAAAUGAAGGAUGUAACUCAUAGGAGUUUUGCUCGUGUCAGUAAUUGAACUGUAAACUUUUAGAGAAUGCUAAUUCUCAGAUGUUUGUCUCUUCCUUUUUACUUAUUUAGAAGACCUUGUAUAUAGCAGUAUUAGCUCUGUACAAGCUACUAAGCGAUAUAGAAAGUUGAAGUUGAAAUUUAUAAACCUGACCAUUGGAACCACAUUAGUACAACAUAUAUAUAUAUUCAAGCUUGAGGUUAUUUUAUUGGAACUGACCAUUAGAGUGUUGAAGUUACCCUAGUGGAACUGGCAAUGAGAAGAUAGUAGCAAUUGCUUGGACAUGCCAAAUGCCUAACAUUUUGGCUCUACUUUACAGAAACAUUUUACUGAUCCUUUAAACUGAAAAGUUGAGUGUUUGUUUUCCAGAUAUUAUAUGUUGUGCUUUUUGCUGCAGCGCAUGAGUGUCAUUCUAAAAGAUGGUACAUGCAUCCUAGAAAACGACCGUCUUGUUAGUCUUGGGAAAAUAUUGUUAUACUACAGUACCAAUGCAUGACAUCUAAAUUUUGUUGGCGAUGUGCAAAUGUGUUAGAUAAUUUAUUGUCGGGCUUCUUGUCUAUCCUUGCAUUUUAUAUGUGCAUAGCAGCACCUCCAUUAUCAUGCAAAAUAGUAUCAAGUUCAGAGACUUGAUCAUGGCAACUAGCAGAAAUGUAUGAUUUAAUACGCAAGCAAAUUCUUGUGAGAAAUUACACCAAAGCGAAUGCUAGCUGCUAACAUAUAUCUAUUUAAUCGCUGAACAAUCUCAAUUGCAUAUCUCUGAAAAUUAAGUAAGCACCUUUCCUCACACUUAGAACUUGUGUUGGACAAAUGGCCAUAAGUGUGCUGUUCCUAGUAGCUACAAAUGGAAUCUUCCUUUCUUUUAAAGAUCAGCCACAAAAUAAAUAUUUGACCAUAAUUUUUCAGGGAAGCAUAUUUAGUUCAGUACCACCAAUCAAGGAUUACACCUAGCUCUAUUUUUUGAGAAAUAUAUAUGUUGCAGCAUAUGUUCAGUUUCAGGAUUUUAACCAUAGUAGAAUACAACAUACGCAAAUCUCUACCAUAAGCACACAAUGUUUCAUAGCAUGCAUGAGCUGCAACACAAGCAAUGUUCUCUAAAUGGAUCUUUUACGAUUAAAUGUGUUUGUUUUUGAGGAUUAAAUGGAUUUGUUUUCAUCUAAGUGCACUUCCUGCUACUACAUAUAUGACUGCUGGUACAUAUGCUUUGUUUCCAGUUAUGCAUGACUCGAUUACCAAAAGAUAUGCUCAUGAUUGUGUCUUGAGACAUUUCCAGUUUCUGCAGUAGCUGAUGGUGCCCAAGUUUUAAAUAUGCAUUUGCUUUGAACUUCUCCUAUAGAUGAACUGAGACCAUGUUGUACUUUAAUGGACUAUAGACGAACUGAGAGCGUGUAGUAAAUGGUAGGCAUGAUUUUAUUGUAGAUUGUGUGCAGAUCAUCCCAGCAAUUACUCAUAUUAGACAUCUGGUUAUAUAUGUAUUACCCGAUCUAGCUCCCAGAUGCCUAACUAGAGUGUACCUGUUAUCAUCGAGGAAAACGAGAUGCAUGUGCAAGUGCACGUCCUGCUACUACAUAUACGACUGCUAGUCUAUGUAUAUUUACAAAUGCAUAUCUGAUUAUUUGAUGGCUGAGGAACUUCAAAUGCAAAUCUCUAAAAUUACAAUAAGAACUUUAUUCGUGAUGCCUUAGGACAGAUUUGAUUGCUCUAUCAAUGAGUGCAUAAAUUUUUAUAGCAAGUCAUAUGAUACACUAGGCGCUAGCCUGACUGCGAUUGAUGUCCGUUUUGGUUCUGAUAAGGUUAUCUUUUGUAACCUGUUUGCGGUACAUCUAAUUUUUAGAUCUUUGGGACCAUGGCCACUCACAAAUUCUCAUUUUCUAAGAUUGCUCAAUCAUAUGAGUUCUUUUGCAGGACAAAUGGAAGAAAGUAGCAAGUCCACAAGUUGAUCUAAGAUAUUCCGGUGAUCACUUUUGUUCCUAACAUGGAUUUGGAAGUUGGUGUCAGCUUAGGGAUCGAAGACUUGGUCUCUUCCAUAAUUUUUGUGGCAGUGAUCAAACAUUUGGUCUCUUAGGAACUUAGGCCAUCAUAUUUUGUAAGAGGCCAUCAUAUUUUGUAAGAGGCCAUGACCGGAAUGUUGACUUGUGUAUUUCCUUGAUGACUGUAGCUAAUUUGAGUCAAGAAAACUGACAGAUCUUCUAUGUUGAAUGAAUGCAUUGAUCAAUGGUAUCUUGUGAUGAAUAGAA